RNAcentral lists this ribosomal RNA (376 nucleotides) under uncultured bacterium. Its description in RNAcentral is "bacterial SSU rRNA". It matches the Rfam family "Bacterial small subunit ribosomal RNA", at positions 521 to 896 of the family's 1533-position model. The record is from RNAcentral.
UAAUACGUAUGGGGCGAGCGUUGUUCGGAUUCACUGGGCGUAAAGGGCGUGUAGGUGGUGUGGAAAGUCGGAUGUGAAAUCUCCAGGCUUAACCUGGAAACUGCAUUCGAAACUGCUAUGCUCGAGUACCGGAGAGGGAGACGGAAUUCCUGGUGUAGGGGUGAAAUCUGUAGAUAUCAGGAAGAACACCGGUGGCGAAGGCGGUCUCCUGGCCGGAUACUGACACUGAGGCGCGAAAGCUAGGGGAGCAAACAGGAUUAGAUACCCUGGUAGUCCUAGCUGUAAACGUUGUGCACUAGGUGUAAGUGGUUUCAAUCCACUUGUGCCGCAGCUAACGCAUUAAGUGCACCGCCUGGGGAGUAUGCUCGCAAGGGUG